RNAcentral lists this ribosomal RNA (397 nucleotides) under uncultured bacterium. RNAcentral's name for it is "partial 16S ribosomal RNA". It matches the Rfam family "Bacterial small subunit ribosomal RNA", at positions 523 to 918 of the family's 1533-position model. The record is from RNAcentral.
AUAUGUAGGGGGCGAGCGUUGUCCGGAAUGAUUGGGCGUAAAGGGCGCGUAGGCGGCGCGGUAAGUCUGGAGUGAAAGUCCUGCUUUCAAGGUGGGAAUUGCUUUGGAUACUGCCGCGCUUGAGUGCAGGAGAGGUUAUCGGAAUUCCCGGUGUAGCGGUGAAAUGCGUAGAGAUCGGGAGGAACACCAGUGGCGAAGGCGGGUAACUGGACUGCAACUGACGCUGAGGCGCGAAAGUGUGGGGAGCAAACAGGAUUAGAUACCCUGGUAGUCCACACUGUAAACGAUGAAUGCUAGGUGUAAGAGGUAUCGACCCCUUUUGUGCCGGAGUCAACACAAUAAGCAUUCCGCCUGGGGAGUACGGCCGCAAGGUUGAAACUCAAAUGAAUUGACGGGG